This 162-nucleotide ribosomal RNA is filed under the name Viola alba. Its description in RNAcentral is "5.8S ribosomal RNA". It matches the Rfam family "5.8S ribosomal RNA". From Rfam's summary of the family: 5.8S ribosomal RNA (5.8S rRNA) is a component of the large subunit of the eukaryotic ribosome. It is transcribed by RNA polymerase I as part of the 45S precursor that also contains 18S and 28S rRNA. Lineage: Eukaryota; Viridiplantae; Streptophyta; Magnoliopsida; Malpighiales; Violaceae. The record is from RNAcentral.
AAACGACUCUCGGCAACGGAUAUCUCGGCUCUCGCAUCGAUGAAGAACGUAGCGAAAUGCGAUACUUGGKGUGAAUUGCAGAAUCCGUGAAUCAUCGAGUCUUUGAACGCAAGUUGCGCCCGAAGCCUUCUGGCCGAGGGCACGUCUGCCUGGGUGUCACGC